RNAcentral lists this ribosomal RNA (461 nucleotides) under uncultured bacterium. Its description in RNAcentral is "bacterial SSU rRNA". It matches the Rfam family "Bacterial small subunit ribosomal RNA", at positions 335 to 788 of the family's 1533-position model. The record is from RNAcentral.
ACUCCUACGGGAGGCAGCAGUGGGGAAUAUUGCACAAUGGGCGCAAGCCUGAUGCAGCCAUGCCGCGUGUGUGAAGAAGGCCUUCGGGUUGUAAAGCACUUUCAGCAGUGAGGAAGGCGGAGUCGUUAAUAGCGGCCUCGUUUGACGUUAGCUGCAGAAGAAGCACCGGCUAACUCCGUGCCAGCAGCCGCGGUAAUACGGAGGGUGCGAGCGUUAAUCGGAAUUACUGGGCGUAAAGCGCAUGCAGGUGGUUUGUUAAGUCAGAUGUGAAAGCCCGGGGCUCAACCUCGGAAUAGCAUUUGAAACUGGCAGACUAGAGUACUGUAGAGGGGGGUAGAAUUUCAGGUGUAGCGGUGAAAUGCGUAGAGAUCUGAAGGAAUACCGGUGGCGAAGGCGGCCCCCUGGACAGAUACUGACACUCAGAUGCGAAAGCGUGGGGAGCAAACAGGAUUAGAUACCCU